Long non-coding RNA from Monodelphis domestica (gray short-tailed opossum), 844 nucleotides. RefSeq lists it as uncharacterized. The record is from RefSeq and is a predicted model, not a curated record. NCBI's taxonomy places the organism in Eukaryota, Metazoa, Chordata, Mammalia, Didelphimorphia, Didelphidae.
GAUUUGUACCCCAAAGAGAUAAUAAGAAAAAAUACAUGUACAAGAAUAUUCAUAAAUGCGCUCUUUGUGGUGGCCAAAAAUUGGAAAAUGAGAGGAUGCCCUUCAGUUGGAGAAUGGCUGAACAAAUUGUGAUGUAUGUUGGUGAUGGAAUAAUAUUGUGCUCAAAGGAAGUAAUAAUGUGGAGGAAUUCCAUGGUGACUGGAACAAGCUCCAGGAUGUGAUGCAGAGCAAAAGUAGCAGAACCAGGAGAACAAUGUACACAGAGAUUGUACUGUAGUACAAUCUAAUGUGAUGGACUUCUCCAUUAGUAGCCAUUCAGUGAUCCUGAACAACUUGUAGGAAUCUAAGAGAAAAAGCAUUAUCCACAUUCAAAGGAAAACCUGGGAGUAGAAAUACAGAAGAAAAACAACUUCUAGAGGGCAUAUGGUUGGGGAUGUAGACUCUAAAUGAUCAUCCUAAUGUAAUCACCAACAACCUGGAAAUAGGUUCUGAUCAAGGACACAAAUAAUACCCAGUUAAAUUGUGCAUUGGCUGCGGGAAAGCUCGGCUUCCAGCUAUGCAGUCUACUCUGAGAUGAGGAGCCCCCUAACAGGAUAGUGCUUUCAGAGGUAAAGGAAAGGAGGAAUCAGCCUAACCACUCACCCAGGUCGCUCAGGGAAGAUGCCUCACAUAACCCACAUUACAAAGCUUCCUCAGUGACCUCCUCAGCAAGCCUCAACUGCCAAACCACCAAGACGCCCAGCUUGCUGCCACAAGCCACACGAGCCAGAAAGAGAGCCACUUCUCUGCGAAAGAGAGCCCAGAGAGGAAAUGAUGCAAAAUAUAUAGACCGUUCUUUAAAUCA